Non-coding RNA from Meleagris gallopavo (turkey), 1794 nucleotides. The record is from RefSeq and is a predicted model, not a curated record. Lineage: Eukaryota; Metazoa; Chordata; Aves; Galliformes; Phasianidae.
GAACCUGAUGUUGAUUAUAUAUGUGAGAACAUCACCAAAAAAGAAGAUGAGAAUCUAGCGGGGAUAGAACCUGAAUCUGAACCAAGUGGUCAGCAUUCACAUCAUCACCACCAAGUGCCCAGGCACAGACACCACCACCACCACCACCAUCGUGAGGGUGGGCGUCAUUCCAAAAAUCAGAACCAUCAGGCCCCUUCUGAAUCUCAAAGACGUCACCCUCACAAUGGUCGACGUCAGAGAGUUUUUAACCAUAACAGACAUGAUCAAAUAGGUAGCCAUGAUCAGAUAGAAACUCUUCCUCCGGGAGAAGGUGUGGAAAUUCUUCCACAUGUUACAAAACUAUGAAAAAAGGGGAAAACCAUCUGUAAAAACCAGUUAACUUGAAACUGGCAGACAGCAUCAGACUCAACAACCAGUAGCUGAUGCUGUCAUUGUCGACACCUUUUGUUUGAAGAGCUAGGAAAUUCUGUCACUUGACAGUGUCAUGGAACACUUCCAAGUUCGUGCAGGUGACAUGGCCAGCUGUUAGCAGAGGACAUCACUGAAUCCUGACAGUGACGUCUGCUCACUGCUGCCUGAGAGUCAGCAGCAGCAGGAGGAAGUGAAACUAGUGACGCCUGACAGUGACAGGAAAAGGCAGGAAACUGAGCAUGAAAAACAAACUAAACACUUAAAAAAGGCAGGGGACUCAUAUGACCUACAUAUACUUAAUUGCAAGACUGGAAAAGCUAUCAGAUUAGGUAUUUCUAUUGCUCCCAAAUAAAAAUUAGACUAAGAUGACAGUGUAGAGCUAAAAUUUUGCAAAGAGCAGUGCUCUUGGUAUUAGACAAGACCUGUCAAACUCCAUCAGUGAAAAUUUCUUGCUAUAAAGGAAUUGGAUUAACCCAUAGUUUGUUUUUCAAUUACACUGGAAAGGUGUCUGCUUGGUUGAUUAAUUUGUCUGUCUUGUUUAUCUUCUAACGUUCUGCUUGCAUUUGUGAGGACAGGAGCAUAAACUAUGACCUAGGGGCUCCUGUUUGAUAUUUUGCAAUCAAGAACAGGAGAUAAGCAAAAGAGAUAUUUUAAUAUAUAUAUAUAUAUAUUUUUUAAUUAAGAGGGGAUAUAUUCAAAAAAUUUUUUUUUUCUCUGAAGUAGGUAUACAAAUUAUAUACAAGCAAAGUUCAUCGCUAAAUAGCGGACCAAAAUAACUUUUUAUCUCAAGGGUAAGAUACAACUGUAACUGCAUUGUUUUAAAGUAACAGAUCAUAUACUUAACUUUUGAGGGUUAAAUAUAGUACAAGUUUCACUGAUGCACACUAUUACAGUUCGUCAAAUCCCACUGAAUCAGUAAAUUCAUGCUGAAGUGAGAAGCAAUAUUAACAACUCUUUGUGCAGAUUCAGUGCCUCUAUUAAGAAAGAGACAGGACAAAUUCAGUCUUGGUUUAAUGCUUUUCUUUGCUUAUGAGAGUAUGGAAUUUGUUAUCUGUAUUGAUUCGUAAGGCAAUAUACCACUGACAUUUUUGUAAUUUCUUUGUAUGUAGCUUAACAUUUUCUAAUUUUGAUUAACCAUGUUGAAAUAAAAAUUCUUUUGUUCAAAGGAUUCCUGGAUGAGCAGAGUAUUCAAGAAAGGAAAGCAGCUUUGAAAGCAUACACCACAAUUAAUGAUGAUUGAAUAGGAAAAUUAUUACCCCUAUGAAAACUGAAUCUUUUUGUGGUGAAUGCUGAUUAGCAAGAAAAAUAGUACUGAACAUAAACAAAAUGCAUGCCUUCGGGAUACUUGACAAGAGACUUUUCAAUAAAAGAUAUUCAGCAUUU